UCUACGGGAGGCAGCAGUGAGGAAUAUUGGUCAAUGGGCGCGAGCCUGAACCAUCCAAGUAGCGUUAAGGAUGACUGCCCUAUGGGUUGUAAACUUCUUUUAUAAAGGAAUAAAGUGAGGCACGUGUGCCGUUUUGUAUGUACUUUAUGAAUAAGGAUCGGCUAACUCCGUGCCAGCAGCCGCGGUAAUACGGAGGAUCCGAGCGUUAUCCGGAUUUAGUGGGUUUAAAGGGAGCGUAGAUGGGUGGUUAAGUCAGUUGUGAAAGUUUGCGGCUCAACCGUAAAAUUGCAAUUGAUACUGGCAGUCUUGAGGACAGUUGAGGUAGGCGGAAUUCGUGGUGUAGCGGGGAAAUGCUUAGAUAUCACGAAGAACUCCGAUUGCGAAGGCAGCUUACUAAACUGCCACUGACAUUGAUGCUCGAAAGUGUGGGUAUCAAACAGGAUUAGAUACCCCUGUAGUC
RNAcentral lists this ribosomal RNA (460 nucleotides) under uncultured bacterium. RNAcentral's name for it is "partial 16S ribosomal RNA". It matches the Rfam family "Bacterial small subunit ribosomal RNA", at positions 338 to 795 of the family's 1533-position model. The record is from RNAcentral.